CCUACGGGAGGCUGCAGUGAGGAAUAUUGGUCAAUGGUCGGGAGACUGAACCAGCCAAGCCGCGUGAGGGAUGAAGGUACAGAGUAUCGUAAACCUCUUUUGUCAGGGAACAAAGGCGGGGACGUGUCCCCGGAUGCGUGUACCUGAAGAAAAAGCAUCGGCUAACUCCGUGCCAGCAGCCGCGGUAAUACGGAGGAUGCGAGCGUUAUCCGGAUUUAUUGGGUUUAAGGGGUGCGAAGGCGGUCUGUUAAGUCAGCGGUCAAAGCCCGGGGCUCAACCCCGGCCCGCCGUUGAAACUGGCAGUCUCGAGUUGGAGAGAAGUAUGCGGAAUGCGCGGUGUAGCGGUGAAAUGCAUAGAUAUCGCGCAGAACUCCGAUUGCGAAGGCAGCAUGCCGGCUCCACACUGACGCUGAGGCACGAAAGCGUGGGUAUCGAACAGGAUUAGAUACCCCUGUAGUC
Molecule: ribosomal RNA, 459 nt
Filed under: uncultured bacterium
Lineage: Bacteria
Description: partial 16S ribosomal RNA
Rfam family: Bacterial small subunit ribosomal RNA
Source: RNAcentral